UGAGGAAUAUUGGUCAAUGGGCGAAAGCCUGAAGCAGCAACGCCGCGUGGAGGAUGACACUUUUCGGAGCGUAAACUCCUUUUGUUGGGGAAGAAAUUUGACGGUACCCAACGAAUAAGCACCGGCUAACUCCGUGCCAGCAGCCGCGGUAAUACGGAAGGUCCGGGCGUUAUCCGGAUUUAUUGGGUUUAAAGGGAGCGUAGGCCGGAGAUUAAGCGUGUUGUGAAAUGUAGAUGCUCAACAUCUGCACUGCAGCGCGAACUGGUUUCCUUGAGUACGCACAAAGUGGGCGGAAUUCGUGGUGUAGCGGUGAAAUGCUUAGAUAUCACGAAGAACUCCGAUUGCGAAGGCAGCUCACUGGAGCGCAACUGGCGCUGAAGCUCGAAAGUGCGGGUAUCGAACAGGAUUAGAUACCCUGGUAGU
This 423-nucleotide ribosomal RNA is filed under the name uncultured Prevotella sp. RNAcentral's name for it is "bacterial SSU rRNA". It matches the Rfam family "Bacterial small subunit ribosomal RNA", at positions 355 to 794 of the family's 1533-position model. The record is from RNAcentral. Lineage: Bacteria; Pseudomonadati; Bacteroidota; Bacteroidia; Bacteroidales; Prevotellaceae.